GACGAACGCUGGCGGCGUGCUUAACACAUGCAAGUCGAACGGAAAGGCCCAGCUUGCUGGGUCCUCGAGUGGCGAACGGGUGAGUAACUCGUGGGUUAUCUGCCCUCAACUUUGGGAUAAGCCUAGGCAACUGGGUCUAAUACCGGAUAUGAUCUACUGUCGCCUGGUGGUUGGUGGAGAGCUUUUGCGGUUGCGGAUGGGCCGGCGGCCUAUCCGCUUUUUGGUGGGGUAAUGGCCUACCACGGCGACGACGGGUAGCCGACACGGGAGGGUGAUCGCCGACAAGAGGACUGAGGGACGGCGCAGAGUGCUAUAGGAGGCAGUGGGGGGAAGUAUGACACAAUGAGCGCGAGCGGGUGGCGGAGACGCCGGGUGAGGGAUGACGGCCUUUGGGGUGAAAACAGCUGCCACCAGGGACGAAGCGGGAGUGACGGUACCUGGAGAAGAAGCACCGGCCAACUACGUG
RNAcentral lists this ribosomal RNA (466 nucleotides) under uncultured bacterium. RNAcentral describes it as "partial 16S ribosomal RNA". It matches the Rfam family "Bacterial small subunit ribosomal RNA", at positions 28 to 507 of the family's 1533-position model. The record is from RNAcentral.